Molecule: RNA transcript, 2521 nt
Organism: Mus pahari (shrew mouse)
Lineage: Eukaryota; Metazoa; Chordata; Mammalia; Rodentia; Muridae
Gene name: nucleolar transcription factor 1 pseudogene
Exons: 1
Source: RefSeq, a predicted model, not a curated record
GUCUGGAGACUCGCUGCCCUGGCGCCGGCAGCUGCGGAGCUGCGACUCUGCUCUUUUGUCUGCCGCGUUGCCUGGUGCCCCCGGCCCUCACUAGCACCCACACGCUCGGGUGAGGUGGCUUUGACCCCGGGUGGCCCGGCCAGCUCGACCGAGGAGGUGGCUGGACAGCUGGAGAAUGAACGGAGAAGCGGACUGUCCCACAGACCUGGAAAUGGCCACCCCCAAAAGCCAAGACCGCUGGUCCCAGGAAGAUAUGCUGACUUUGCUGGAAUGCAUGAAGAACAAUCUUCCAUCCAAUGACUGCUCCAAGUUCAAAACCACACAGUCGCAUAUGGACUGGGAAAAAGUUGCAUUUAAGGAUUUUUCAGGAGAUAUGUGCAAGCUCAAAUGGGUGGAGAUUUCUAACAAGGUAAGGAAGUUCCGUACAUUGACAGAAUUGAUCCUCGAUGCUCAGGAACAUGUUAAAAACCCUUACAAAGGCAAAAAGCUCAAACACCCGGAUUUUCCAAAGAAGCCUCUCACCCCUUACUUCCGCUUCUUCAAGGAGAAGCGGGCCAAGUAUGCGAAGCUCCACCCAGAGAUGAGCAACCUGGACCUGACUAAGAUCCUGUCUAAGAAAUACAAGGAACUUCCAGAGAAGAAGAAGAUGAAAUAUAUUCAGGACUUCCAGAGGGAGAAACAGGAGUUCGAGCAAAAACUGGCCCGAUUCAGGGAGGAUCACCCUGACCUUAUCCAGAAUGCCAAGAAGUCGGACAUCCCCGAGAAGCCCAAAACUCCCCAGCAACUGUGGUACAUCCAUGAGAAGAAGGUGUAUCUCAAAGUGCGGCCUGAUGCCACUAUGAAGGAGGUGAAGGACUCCCUGGGGAAGCAGUGGUCUCAGCUCUCGGACAAAAAGAGGCUGAAAUGGAUUCAUAAGGCCCUGGAGCAGCGGAAGGAGUACGAGGAGAACAUGCGGGACUAUAUCCAGAAGCACCCUGAGCUGAACAUCAGGGAGGAAGGUAUCACCAAGUCCACCCUCACCAAGGCUGAGCGCCAGCUCAAGGACAAGUUUGAUGGGCGACCCACCAAGCCGCCUCUGAACAGCUACUCCCUGUACUGUGCCGAGCUCAUGGCCAACAUGAAGGAUGUGCCCAGCACAGAGCGCAUGGUGCUAUGCAGCCAGCAAUGGAAGCUGCUCUCUCAGAAGGAGAAAGAUGCGUAUCACAAGAAAUGUGACCAGAAAAAGAAAGAUUAUGAGGUGGAGCUGCUGCGGUUUCUUGAGAGCUUGCCCAAGGAAGAGCAGCAGCGGGUGUUGGAGGAGGAGAAGAUGCUGAACAUCAAUAAGAAGCAGACCACCAGUCUUGCCUCCAAGAAGCCUUCACAGGAAGGUGGCAAGGGUGGCUCCAAGAAGCCCAAGCCGCCUGUGUCUGCCAUGUCCAUCUUCUCGGAGGAGAAGCGAAGGCAGCUACAGGAGGAGCGACCUGAGCUCUCCGAAAGCGAGCUGACCCACCUGCUGGCCAGCAUGUGGAACGACUUGUCGGAGAAGAAGAAGGAUAAAUACAAGGCCAGGGAGGCUGCGCUGAAGGUGCAGACUGAGAGGAAGCCAGGCGGGGAGCGUGAAGAUAGGGGCAAGCUGCCCGAGUCGCCCAAGAGAGCUGAGGAAAUCUGGCAGCAGAGUGUCAUUGAAGACUAUCUAGCCCGCUUCAAGAAUGACAGGGUGAAAGCCUUGGAAGUCAUGGAGAUGACUUGGAACAACAUGGAGAAGAAGGAGAAGCUGAUGUGGAUUAAGAAGGCAGCUGAAGACCAAAAACGAUAUGAGAGAGAGUUAAGUGAGAUGCGGGUCCCUCCAGCUGCUACAAACUCUUCCAAGAAGAUGAAGUUCCAGGGGGAGCCCAAGAAACCUCCUAUGAACGGUUACCAGAAGUUCUCCCAGGAGCUGCUGUCCACUGGGGAGCUAAACCACCUGCGGCUGAAGGAGCGCAUGGUGGAGAUUGGCAGCCGCUGGCAGCGAAUCCCCCAGAGCCAGAAGGAGCACUAUAAGAGGCUGGCGGAGGAGCAACAGAGGCAGUACAAGGUGCACUUGGACCUCUGGGUCAAGAGCCUGUCUCCCCAGGACCGCGCAGCAUACAAAGAAUACAUCUCCAAUAAACGUAAGAGCAUGACCGAGCUCCGAGGCCCAAACCCCAAGUCUAGCCGGGCCACCCUGCAGUCCAAGUGGGAGUCCGAGGAGGAGGAUGAGGAUGAGGAUGAGGAAGAGGAGGUUGACAAUGAGGAGAAGGAAGAGGAAGACGAUGAGAAUGGUGACUCUUCUGAGGACAGUGACUCUUCUGAGGAUGGCGGGGACUCUUCUGAAUCGAGCAGCGAAGAUGAAAGCGAGGACGGGGAUGAGAAUGAUGAUGAUGAUGAUGAUGACGAUGACGACGAUGAGGAUGAAGACAACAAGUCUGAGGGCAGUAGCUCCAACUCUUCAUCUUCAGGGGACUCCUCGGAUUCUGACUCCAACUGAGGCUCAGCCUCCACCCCAGGCUGGCAGGCAGGCAGC